GAUCGCCGCUACCAUGCAGUCGAACGAGCGAGAGAGAGCUUGCUUUCUCGAGCGAGUGGCGAACGGGUGAGUAACGCGUGAGGAACCUGCCUCAAAGAGGGGGACAACAGUUGGAAACGACUGCUAAUACCGCAUAAGCCCACGGCUCGGCAUCGAGCAGAGGGAAAAGGAGCAAUCCGCUUUGAGAUGGCCUCGCGUCCGAUUAGCUGGUUGGUGAGGUAACGGCCCACCAAGGCGACGAUCGGUAGCCGGACUGAGAGGUUGAACGGCCACAUUGGGACUGAGACACGGCCCAGACUCCUACGGGAGGCAGCAGUGGGGAAUAUUGCACAAUGGGGGAAACCCUGAUGCAGCGACGCCGCGUGGAGGAAGAAGGUCUUCGGAUUGUAAACUCCUGUUGUUGGGGAAGAUAAUGACGGUACCCAACAAGGAAGUGACGGCUAACUACGUGCCAGCAGCCGCGGUAAAACGUAGGUCACAAGCGUUGUCCGGAAUUACUGGGUGUAAAGGGAGCGCAGGCGGGAAGACAAGUUGGAAGUGAAAUCUAUGGGCUCAACCCAUAAACUGCUUUCAAAACUGUUUUUCUUGAGUAGUGCAGAGGUAGGCGGAAUUCCCGGUGUAGCGGUGGAAUGCGUAGAUAUCGGGAGGAACACCAGUGGCGAAGGCGGCCUACUGGGCACCAACUGACGCUGAGGCUCGAAAGUGUGGGUAGCAAACAGGAUUAGAUACCCUGGUAGUCCACACCGUAAACGAUGAUUACUAGGUGUUGGAGGAUUGACCCCUUCAGUGCCGCAGUUAACACAAUAAGUAAUCCACCUGGGGAGUACGACCGCAAGGUUGAAACUCAAAGGAAUUGACGGGGGCCCGCACAAGCAGUGGAGUAUGUGGUUUAAUUCGACGCA
This 902-nucleotide ribosomal RNA is filed under the name Faecalibacterium prausnitzii. Its description in RNAcentral is "bacterial SSU rRNA". It matches the Rfam family "Bacterial small subunit ribosomal RNA", at positions 42 to 958 of the family's 1533-position model. Lineage: Bacteria; Bacillati; Bacillota; Clostridia; Eubacteriales; Oscillospiraceae. The record is from RNAcentral.